CAGUCGCCACGGUAAUACAGAGGGUGCGAGCGUUAAUCGGAUUUACUGGGCGUAAAGCGUGCGUAGGCGGCUUCUUAAGUCGGAUGCGAAAUCCCUGAGCUUAACUUAGGAAUUGCAUUCGAUACUGGGAAGCUAGAGUAUGGGAGAGGAUGGUAGAAUUCCAGGUGUAGCGGUGAAAUGCGUAGAGAUCUGGAGGAAUACCGAUGGCGAAGGCAGCCAUCUGGCCUAAUACUGACGCUGAGGUACGAAAGCAUGGGGAGCAAACAGGAUUAGAGACCCCUGUAGUCCCUGUCUCUUAUAU
This 301-nucleotide ribosomal RNA is filed under the name uncultured bacterium. RNAcentral describes it as "partial 16S ribosomal RNA". It matches the Rfam family "Bacterial small subunit ribosomal RNA", at positions 509 to 809 of the family's 1533-position model. The record is from RNAcentral.